UACGUAGGGGGCAAGCGUUGUCCGGAAUCAUUGGGCGUAAAGCGCGUGUAGGCGGUUCGGUAAGUCAGCUGUGAAAGUCCAGGGCUCAACCCUGGGAUGCCGGUGGAUACUGUCGGACUAGAGUACGGAAGAGGCGAGUGGAAUUCCCGGUGUAGCGGUGAAAUGCGUAGAUAUCUGGAGGAACACCGAUGGCGAAGGCGGCAUCCUGGACCGGCAUUGACGCUGAGGCGCGAAAGCCAGGGGAGCAAACGGG
This 253-nucleotide ribosomal RNA is filed under the name uncultured bacterium. Its description in RNAcentral is "partial 16S ribosomal RNA". It matches the Rfam family "Bacterial small subunit ribosomal RNA", at positions 524 to 776 of the family's 1533-position model. The record is from RNAcentral.